AACCUUUUUCAAGACUGUGCCAGGGGUGGGAUUCUACCAGUUCGCACCUAUUCGCUAGAAUUGGUUGUUAACAUUCUAAACAGUUUGGAGAACCAGUUGUUAGAGAAAUUACUGGCGUAAUCCUGUCGGGAAGGCAGGAAGGAAACAUUCUGGUUUGCUUACAGAAACUGCCUCUCCAUUAACCCUUAUUAUAUUCUUGCCAGGACUAGACUUCCUGUCUCUGGAACUUCU
Molecule: non-coding RNA, 231 nt
Organism: Notechis scutatus (mainland tiger snake)
Lineage: Eukaryota; Metazoa; Chordata; Lepidosauria; Squamata; Elapidae
Source: RefSeq, a predicted model, not a curated record